UACAGAGGUCCCGAGCGUUGUUCGGAUUCAUUGGGCGUAAAGGGUGCGUAGGCGGCUUCCUAAGUUUGAUGUGAAAUCCUGGGGCUCAACCCUGGAACUGCAUUGAAUACUGGGAGGCUAGAGUACUGGAGAGGAAACUGGAAUUUACGGUGUAGCAGUGAAAUGCGUAGAGAUCGUAAGGAAGACCAGUGGCGAAGGCGGGUCUCUGGACAGUUCCUGACGCUGAGGCACGAAGGUCAGGGGAGCAAACGAG
This 253-nucleotide ribosomal RNA is filed under the name uncultured bacterium. RNAcentral's name for it is "partial 16S ribosomal RNA". It matches the Rfam family "Bacterial small subunit ribosomal RNA", at positions 524 to 776 of the family's 1533-position model. The record is from RNAcentral.